This is a long non-coding RNA of Trachemys scripta elegans, 2149 nucleotides long. RefSeq lists it as uncharacterized. The transcript is spliced from 3 exons. The record is from RefSeq and is a predicted model, not a curated record. NCBI's taxonomy places the organism in Eukaryota, Metazoa, Chordata, Testudines, Emydidae.
AAGUGUCCAGAGCCAGAAGUCAAAAAUGGAAAAAAGCAGUCUGGCUUUGGAUCUGACUAUUCAAAUAGAAACACCGUAAUAUUUGAAUGUGAUUCUGGCUACACUCUGAAUGGUAACAGUUCAGUUAAAUUUGAAGCUAACGAUUCAUGGGUUCCAUCUUUGCCCACCUGUCUACGAUACAUGACUGAUGCUGGCUGAUGGCUAUGGUUUACAAAUUAACAGACAUUGGAAGAAAAACAUGGAAAAUUUAGGAGAUAAAUGUCAUGCAUUUGUACUAAAAUUUCUGUAGUGAAAAUAGACCCCUCUCAGGCAACUGGUGUUACUUUCACUACAACUUCUUUCCUCUGUUGAGCUGGACUUGUAGUAGGAAUCCACUGCAUUUGAGUAAAGCAGAAAGACAGGAGGUGAAUUAUUGCUCUUGCCCUUGAAAAUGGCUUCUGAAGCAAGCAAGGCAGUUAGCAGCAUCAAAAUUACUUGCUCUUCUGAAUAUGCAGCUGGUUCCUUAUUCAGCCUCUCCAUAGUGCUAAAUGUUUCCCCUUAAAGAACAUAGUCACCAUCAAAGCGUGGUAUGGUUUGGAUUGUGAGUUGUGGCUUUAACUGCAGACAGCAAGAGACACUGUUCAGAUCCCUGCCUACAAGCUGCCAUCAUUGAGUGCGUAUUACUCUUUAAACACAAAUUUAAAGAUUCAGACACUAGGUGGAAUGUUGUAAAUUCUUCAUAAAAACAUCCAUACUGGGGCAGACCAAUGGUCCAUCUAGCCAGGUGCUUCAAAGGGAAUGAACAGGGCAGUUAUCGAGUGAUCCAUCAUCCCCUGUCAGCCAGGCCCAGCUUCUGGCAAUCAGAGAGUAGGGACCCUCGGAGCAUGGGGUUGUAUCCCUAGCUAUCCUCCAUGAACAUCUCAUUCUUUUUGGAACUCAAUUAUAGUUUUGGUUUCAUGUGACCUUUCUUCAAAUUUACUCUCCAUUUACAGAUUUUUUUUUUUUUUUAAAGUAAUACUACAGAAAGAAGCCAACUCCCCUGUUUACAGCUCUGUUUGCUGGCUCCUAGGCCGCUGCAGCUGUCUGAAACUAUAAUUGAAGAUGCCUGUUAUUUAUUUGGAAUAGGCCUUUUUCUUAAAUAAAAGGGAUACUGACUAAAGACUCUAGCAUCCUGAUAUUUUUUCCAUACUUGUCAAUAGAAACUGUCUCAUUAACUAUUUAAAAGUGAUGUUGAGACCUAGCCCUGUGCUCUCAUCUAAUCACUAGCUGCUUACAGAACAGAAAGAAGUUCUUUCCUUUCCUCUUGCAGAUAAGUAUCUUUACUACUGUGGAGGGAUUUUUGUAACACGUGUCAGAAGUUGACUCAAUUCUGCAUAGCCAGACUCCUGGGGGAUCGCUGUCAGAGGAAGGAGAUCCCCACUGCUCAGAGCUGAGAUCAGUGCUAUGGCCUCCACUAUGGCUGCAGUCCUUCCCCUACCCUCACUUCCUCUUAGGGUGUGAACUGGCAAGGCAAGAUGCCACAGAGCUACUUCUGCAGAAGAUCCUGGCAUUUAACACUGGCUUUGUCAGACAAAUUUUGGUGCUGUGCACUAGACUACAGCUAGGAGGAGCUCAGUGAACUAAGAUCAAUUUCUCUCCUGCUUUCAGGUGUUCCUUUGCCAGGCAGUGGCAAAAACAAAUGUUAAGAAGGUUGGAACUCUGAAAACAGUCCUAAAACUUCUUCUAGGGUGCAGUAGGCCCAGAGCCACCAAAAUAGGAGCCCAAGCUCUGGUCCACACUACAAACUGAUGUCAGGAUAAGGACGUCACUCAGGACUGUGAAUAAUUUGUACUGACUAAAUCCUUACUGCAGACUGUGUUAUGCCGAUGAGAGAGCAGUUACAUGAAAAAUAAGUAUAAAUUUAAAAUAUUACCACCGCACCAUGCUAUAAUGUAACUUUAUUUCUCAGUUAUGUUAUCCUGGGUAUCCAUGGUCAUGCUGACGGCCAUGAGUGCCUACCUCAGGGCAGACUGUCAGAUGCGAGGCAGACACCCAAAAAUUGUAGUGAGCAAUUUUUACAAAAGCAAUGUUCCCUCUCUUGGUAUUGAUACCUCCUCCUCAAUUAUUGGGAGUGGACCACAUCCCCCUGACUGAAUUAGCCGUGUCAAUAUUGCCUGUAUAGUUAUGCCUG